This 396-nucleotide ribosomal RNA is filed under the name uncultured bacterium. RNAcentral's name for it is "bacterial SSU rRNA". It matches the Rfam family "Bacterial small subunit ribosomal RNA", at positions 29 to 430 of the family's 1533-position model. The record is from RNAcentral.
AUUGAACGCUGGCGGCAUGCCUUACACAUGCAAGUCGAACGGCAGCACGGGAGCAAUCCUGGUGGCGAGUGGCGAACGGGUGAGUAAUACAUCGGAACGUGCCCAGUUGUGGGGGAUAGCCCGGCGAAAGCCGGAUUAAUACCGCAUACGACCUAUGGGUGAAAGCGGGGGAUCGCAAGACCUCGCGCUACUGGAGCGGCCGAUGUCGGAUUAGCUUGUGGUGGGGUAAAAGGCCUACCAAGGCAACGAUCCGUAGCUGGUCUGAGAGGACGACCAGCCACACUGGGACUGAGACACGGCCCAGACUCCUACGGGAGGCAGCAGUGGGGAAUUUUGGACAAUGGGCGCAAGCCUGAUCCAGCCAUGCCGCGUGCGGGAAGAAGGCCUGGUGUAACG